Molecule: non-coding RNA, 2046 nt
Organism: Rhopilema esculentum
Lineage: Eukaryota; Metazoa; Cnidaria; Scyphozoa; Rhizostomeae; Rhizostomatidae
Source: RefSeq, a predicted model, not a curated record
AUAACUUACUGUAACCAGGGCCGGCGAGAGGUUUCAGAGGUCCUGAGGCAAAAUCCAAAGAUGGGCCACCUGCGUGCGGUGGGAGCAGAAAGUCUUUGCACCCACACCGUUGAUAUAAUCUUAAAAUACUUUUAAUGAUAUUUCCCAAGUCAUUUUUGCAAUCGCUUAAACAUGAAUACGAUUUUAGUCAUACUAUUGCUACGCUUGGUUAAUUCCAUACUUAAAAUGGACUUCAUUACUUUUGGAAGCCUCCUAGACCUCGAGGCUCUGGGGCAAUUUGGCGCUUUGCACCUUUCUUUCGGCAGCCUUGACUGUAAUUGCAGCACAACAUUGCAAAAUCCACCACUAUUCAGAUAAGAAGGCAUUUUCAGACUUUCGAUGAUGAUAGACAUUUUUCAGACUUACAACUUUACCGUCCUGUUAUUUUUUUGAAAAUGUCAGCUGAAAAAUUCAUUUUCAUGUAUUUGCAUUAAUCUUUAGAGAGACAUCACCCGACUAUGUAGAGAUUUGAUAAACCCAGUAGCCAAUUAUGUAGAUUAAUACCUUAGUUCUAACUUAGUUUGUGCCUACCCCCUCCUCAAUAAAAUCGAAGACUGUACUUAAAACAUUAUUCCCAGUAGGGCUUUAACUAUGAAAUAGCCUUUUUGUAUCUGCAUACGCUUUCAAAUAAGAAGAUGUUCUUUAUCGAUAACCUUCGAUUUGUUUCAAAAUUAAUUUUGCAAAGGUUUUUGAUAAAACAGGCUAGAUGGAAACAGGCAAAUAGCCAUAGUACACUUGACUGUUUGCCAAUGAUGGAACUUAAAGCCAGGCAUGUGGUGGAGCUUUCAUUUAAGAACAACUUUGAUCAACAAAAGCCCAACGACAUCAACAUAUUGCUAAAUGAUAUUACCAGAAACUUAAGAUUUUGUUCUGUGCCGCUUAUCCAGGGUGUAGCUAGCGGGAGAAGGUUGUAGGUGGGUGGGACAUUUAUCAGAUACUUUAUUCGUAAAAUCAUCUUUCAGUAGGUAAAAUCAUCUAUCAGAAGAGAUAUAUGCCGAUUCCACUGCACUUAUGAUGUGCAUUCAAUAAUUUCAGUAAAGCUGCGACAGACCUCUUUAAUAAACCGUCGGCAGAUAUUAAAGUCAAGGGAGUUUUCAUCACAAAUGCCCAAUUACUUACGCAUAGAAAUGAAAAAAGACUUUUAGCUUACCACUAGAAUGAGCUGAAUAUUUCUUUAUUUCAUAAAUAUUUUCUUCCAUAUUGCAAUUUUCAUUAAGCACCCUCAUUGGUAGAAAGGAGAUAUUUUUAGCUCAUUUGCCCUGAAUCUCAGUUCCUUUUUUCAUCGAUACAAUUCAGGAAUUUUGCUGGUCAAAAAAAAUGUAGAGGCAACAAAUUGAUAUUUGAUACAUCAAUCGAAAACUCUCAAAAUCUUACUUAACAUUCCUAAAGUGUGACUUUGGACAUGAAAGUUGAAUAUUAUUCCGACAUUUCGAUCACGGAUAGUUGUGGAGAAAAUUGCAACUUUACAAACAAACAUAGGAUAAACACAGUUUUCUUUCAUUGAAUUGGUACCAGUAAAAUAUGAAAAAACACGUCACAAGAUACCAUGAAAAAAACAUAUAAACAUCAACUUAGGGCGAAUCAAUUAAAGGACGAACGCCCCUUAUGAAAUUAACGAGAAGCUGGUAAUUUAAAAUGAGGUCUCUUGCAAUUUGAAUAUAUCCUGCUUUGUGCAGAGGCGGGGCCAGUCACCAAUGUCAUAGAAGCAAUUUUUUUAAGACACACCAUUUUUACUUCCAAGAACAGGAUUUCGGCAUAGAUGAGUGCCUGUACUGCUAGUAGGAUAUACUCAUGACCAACUUUUUCAAGAGCGGAUUAUUUAGAAUGACAAUAGUCAAAUUUCCAAAACUUCUACUCCAGUUGGAGAACCGACCUUACCUGACAGGAAAAUGUUAAUGAUAUAUUAUUGAUCUUUUUAGACCACCGUAGAACACCAUGCAAGGAAGAAAAGGCUUGUUUGCUCUCUCAUAAAGACAGCAAUAAAAACUAUAUCUUACAUCUGACUUU